UCAAUGAAAAGAGUAAAGAACGCACACGCCACACAACCCAACUCAGCCAAAUCUCCGACUCCCAAAAUCACUUCACCUCCUCUUUCUCCAAUCUCGACACACACUACAGCAAAGACACACCAUGCCUCCACUGAAGGCCGUGACCCUAACCCACGUUCGCUACCAGAAAGGCGAUCAGCUUGGUCAUUUCCUCGCCUGGGUCUCAUUGGUGCCGGUCUUCAUCUCCUUAGGCGGCUUCGUCUCUCAUUUCAUCUUUCGUCGCGAGCUGCAGGGGAUGUUUUUCGCUCUCGGACUCAUCGUCUCGCAGUUUGUCAACGAAUUCAUCAAGACAUCCGUGCAGCAAGCCCGUCCGGAGACCUGCGCGCUCCUAGAGAUGUGCGAUUCGCACGGCUGGCCCUCCAGUCACUCGCAGUAUAUGUUCUUCUUCGCCAUAUACUACACUCUCUUGACCUAUAGAGGGAUCAGCCUUUUUGAGAACAAAUUCUUGGUUAAUUUCUUGUCAUGGAGUUUGGCCCUCCUCACGAUGUAUUCUCGGGUUUAUCUCGGGUACCACACGGUGGCGCAGGUGUUUGCCGGGGCUGCGCUCGGAAUCUUUCUCGGUGCGGUAUGGUUUUGGUUUGUGAAUUCGAUUCUCGCUUGUUACUUUCCGGCGAUGGAGGAGAGCAAGUUUGGAAGGAUGUUUUAUAUCAAAGAUACGUCUCAUAUACCUAAUGUGUUGAAGUUCGAAUAUGAUAGUGCAAGGGCUGCGAGGAAGAAUAUGGCUUCUAAGUGCAAUUGACCGAUGAUAUAAUCGUCUCCCAAAAAAAAUCUUCCCAGGGGUGCGUAAGGGAUUUUUGUUUUCUUGAUCUGUUUUGUCUCCUUGAUCUGGGUUUGGUUUGAAGCCUUAAUGGAUGGCUAGACUAAAAGAUGCCAAAUUCAUGUGGAUGAGUUUAAUUGGGAAACAAUUGUGGAAGCUAGCUGGCGGGACUCUUGCUGCUAUUCAGAUCACUCGACAUCAGUGAGGAGAACAUACUGAAUCGCUGCACGAUUUCUGUUUUCAGUGUUAAAAACUGCCAUAGGAAACAUAGUAGUGUAGAUGCUUUAUAUCAGAAACUUCAACAAUUACCGCAUUUUCAAUCAUUUCAAUCAUCUAGGUUCAACAAUUGUGGCUUUGUUUUUUUGCAACUGUUUAUUACUGCUCUUACUGAAUUUACGAGUCCAUUUCCGGUGGGAUC
Tripterygium wilfordii is the source of this 1214-nucleotide RNA transcript. It is a transcript of the gene named lipid phosphate phosphatase gamma, with no coding region annotated. The record is from RefSeq and is a predicted model, not a curated record. The transcript has 2 exons. NCBI's taxonomy places the organism in Eukaryota, Viridiplantae, Streptophyta, Magnoliopsida, Celastrales, Celastraceae.